RNAcentral lists this ribosomal RNA (254 nucleotides) under uncultured bacterium. RNAcentral's name for it is "partial 16S ribosomal RNA". It matches the Rfam family "Bacterial small subunit ribosomal RNA", at positions 524 to 776 of the family's 1533-position model. The record is from RNAcentral.
UACGGGGGGAGCAAGCGUUGUUCGGAUUUACUGGGCGUAAAGGGCGCGUAGGCGGCCACCGCAAGUCGACUGUGAAAUCUCCGGGCUUAACCCGGAAAGGUCAGCCGAUACUGCGGGGCUAGAGUGCAGAAGGGGCAACUGGAAUUCUCGGUGUAGCGGUGAAAUGCGUAGAUAUCGAGAGGAACACCUGCGGCGAAGGCGGGUUGCUGGGCCGACACUGACGCUGAGACGCGAAAGCGUGGGGAGCGAACAGG